Long non-coding RNA from Symphalangus syndactylus (siamang), 5991 nucleotides. RefSeq lists it as uncharacterized. The record is from RefSeq and is a predicted model, not a curated record. NCBI's taxonomy places the organism in Eukaryota, Metazoa, Chordata, Mammalia, Primates, Hylobatidae.
CCCGCCUAUUCAGCAGCGAGGGCUUGGAAGUUAGCACGGUGAGGGGGUGCGCGGCGUCACUGAGGGACUCGGGCAGGCUGAGGGCUUUUUUUCCUCAAAACUGUGAAGCUCAGGGAAAGGAGAAGAAGUGGGAACCAAGUAAAGUAAAAUCGUGGCAAGUGGGCAUAGUUCUAAAAUCUCCUUCGUGAGGCCCUUCCAGUGGGGAACCCAGAACGUGCAGCUCAAUGUAUGUUUGGAAUGAAUAGGUGAAAGGAAGCAGGAGGAAGAGGGAGUUCUAGCGAAGACUCCGGAGGGAAGCAACCCAUCCCCCGCCUCAAGAAAGCACCGCCACUCCAGUGGGAACGGACACGCGUGCACAUGGCCACGAGUGAGGAGAGAAUACAGCAGUUUCAAGGACAAUGGAUUCGUACCACUGCUCCUCACUCAAUAAACAGCAGAGACAGAAUUUGAACACGGAGUCUUGCCCUGUCGCCCAGGCUGGAGUGCAGUGGCGCGAUCUCGGCUCACUGCAAGCUCCACCUCCCGGGUUCACGCCAUUCUCCUGCCUCAGGCUCUCCAAGUAGCUGGGACUACAGGCGCCCGCCACCACGCCCGGCUAAUUUUUUGUGUUUUUAGUAGAGACGGGGUUUCACUGUGGUCUUGAUCUCCUGACCUCGUGAUCCGCCCGGCUCGGCCUCCCAAAGUGCUGGGAUUACAAGCGUGAGCCACCGCGCCUGGCCAGCCUAAGGGCUGAUAUCACAAGUAGCAGAUAAAUUGAAGGAAAGGAAUCCCAAAAGAAGAAAAAGACUGUGUUCUGCUCCUCACUUAAAACUCAGCAAAAGGGACCCCCACCAAAUGGCCCAUGCCAAUAUGUAACACAGAAAGGAAAACCAACAGCAUGGGCCUCUUGGCUUGGAGGAAGCCAAAGUGCACCUUUCUUCAGUCAUACUACAUCUGGGUUCAUCUAGCCACCUCUGCCAUGCUGCCCAAGUUCAACCCCAAUGAGAUGAGUCAUAUACCUGCCAGGUGCCCUGGUGGAAAAUUGGGUACCAUGUCUGCCCUAUCUCUUAAGAUCAACGCUCUGGACCUGUCUCCAAAAUAAGUUGGUAAUGACAUUGCCAAGGCCACAGGUCACCAGAAGAGUGAGUCAAAGGAUUACAAUGAAACUGACCAUUCAGAACAGACAGGCUCAGACUGGGGUGGCACUUUCUGCCUCUGCCAUGAGCAUCAAAGCCCUCAAGGAACCAGAGACAGAGAGAAGCAAAAUAAUCAAGCACAGUGGAAAUGCCAUGUUUCAUGACACUGUCAAGAAUGCAUGACAGAUGCAGCACCAAUCCUUAGUCACAGAACUCUCUGGGACCUGUAAAGAGAUCUUGGAGACUGCCCACUCUAUAAGCUGCAAUGUUGAUGGGUGCCAGCCUCCUGACAUCAUAGAUGACAUCAGAUCAACAGUGGUGCAAGUAAAUAUCCAGCUAGCUAUGAACUAUGAAGGAAAAAAUUUCAAUAAGGGAUCAUUUGACAACUAAAAAUGAAAACACAGCAUGGUUAUGAGACAUAGGGUCUGCAUGAGUGCCUUUGUGCCUCCUUGAAAAAGCCGGUUUCCCCAUGCACAGAUGUCAGUAAUACAAGUCAACCAGGUAUCCAGAGACAUUGCUAAAAAAUGUCAAUACCAAAUCUAAUCAUAGCAUAACGACCAGUGUAUACAAAUCUAAAGCCCACUUUCUCCUGCUCACACCUAAAGCUCACUUUCUCACAACACUGCCACCCCAAUAUACCAAGAAACCAUCUAGAAAGGAGGGCAGACAACAAUAGCCACUUGCCUUUAAAAACAAAACCAAACUCUUUACACCAAAACUUCUUUCAUAUCCAAAGAGUCUAAAAUACAGUUAGUGAUGAAUGUGGAUGUGGAACCAAUGAGUAAGAAAACAGUGAAAACAGUUGUAGAAAACAAGUGAAGCCACAUUUACUUUGCACAACCAAAUGUAGUUAGCUAAGUUUUUGACCCCAUUAUAUGAAGAAGACAAUUCAUCCGUAACUCUACCAUGCUAAACCUACAUUACUUCUUUUUUUUUUUUUUUGGGAGUUUCGCUUUGUGGUCCAGGCUGGGGCACAGUGGGGCAAUCUUGGCUCACUGCAACCUCCGCCUCCUGGGUUCAAGCAAUUCUCAUGCCUCAGCCUCCUGAGUAACUGGGAUUACAGCUGCCCAUAGAUUUUUAAAAUAUUUCUCUUUCACUUGUCUUGCAUAGGCAUGAUUAUUGCAAAUAACUGCAAUACAUAUCAGUCACAAUUUUAUAUCAUGCUCUGUAAAAUUCAUCAAAAUUCCUUUUCCAUGCUGCUGUGUGUUCUUCCUGGUUACCAAUGUUUAUAGAUGCAUAAGCUAUUAGUCAAAACUCUUGUAAUUGCAAGUAACAUAAAGCCAAUUCCAACUCAACUAAAGAAAAUGGGGAUUUAAUGGAAGAACGCUGGAGUUGCUCCUUGACCUACAAGAACCAGGCAGCCCUGGGGGCCUAAAUGCAGGGGACAGGGGCUUGAAGUCACCAGAGUUCUUCACUGCUCAUUUUUUCCUACAGAUAUCUCCACAUAAAUGUAUCAGGCAUUUAGCCAUGUUAGGUCAUUUUCAUUAGCCACAUUUUCCAAAUGGGGAAGGAGGGGCUAAGGCAGUUAGAUGACUCACUGCAGGUGAUUCAGCUGCUAAAUGGCAUUGACUUGAAAACCAGCAUCUUGAUUUAGAUUGGUGGAUCCAUACAAAUUGCAAGGGACAAAACUUUUCAAAAGUAUUUAAGAAUAGUCACAUAGGAUAAGAAUAUAUUUGAUUUUUGUGAGGACUGCACCUGAAGGAGAAGAGAAACAUGCAAAUGGGGUUCCAUUCCCCACACUAGGGCAGCUUCUGUCGUCUCAGAAUGCCCACCUGGCAUCUUCCUGACCCUUGGCUCACCCACAAGGAAGUUCAUGGCAAUAUUGUUUUCAGAAGCCAAUAUUCUCCUGUCUCUACUUGCAAGAAAAUAACUGGGCCCCCUAGGAAGUAUAAUUGGUGCGAACCGUGAUUUAUUAUACACCCAGUUCUCCAGAUGGCCUUUCAUAUGGAAAUGAUUUUUCCUGAAAACAGAAAAAUGUGGGUUUUUUCCCGCCUCAGCAGGUUAUAACAGGUUUACAAUCCACUGCAUCAAAACUAGAAUCAAAAACUUUAAUGGAGUUCCCUUAAAACAGAAACACAAAAAACACGUUCCAUCUGGUAAAUAAUUGCCGGAGUUGCAUUCCUGUGCAUUCAGGCACAAGCUAACUGCUGUACAGCAUAAAGCUGUGAAAAUGUCUAGGCUUAAUGGGGAAACAUGAGAUAAGAUCUACUUAGGUCUAUCAUAUACCCAAAUUGUAACCUUCUGGGAUGCUGGUUCAUGCCAGACUCUCAAAUCACCCAUAAUCUGAUGAGCUAGACAGAUGUGUAAGAUUAUUCCAGGAUAUCUGAAAAUCUCACAUGUGAGUACAAAAGGCUAGGUGGACACGUGCAGCCCUUAUUCUAUAUGAAUGAAGGGGAAUGUUUACCAAAAAGGUCGUUUUCAGAUGACCAUAGUUGAAGAACAAAGUCAAAUGUGGUUCUAAAUUCCAUGUCCUCUGCCUAAAUAACAGAUGAGAAAGUAUGUCUAAAAAGGCUUAUGUCAUCCUGUGAGGGAAUACUUAAGAAUGGGGAAAGCAUUUAGCAGUAAAAAGUAAAUUACCAAAAGGGUUUAAUGUAGUUAGUAUGUAGCAGGUUAAUUUCAGUAGAUGACUCUAAGUUACGAUUUUCAUCCAGAAAGAAUUAUUUUAGUCAGCUUUCCACCAGUGGAACAUACUUCCUCAUAAGCUCCCUGCCUCUGAAAGCAUAGGCAGGGGAGCCAUGUAUUAGAGAUGUUGUGGGGAAGAUCUACACUUUUGGAAAGCUGAAGAUCUACAAAUUAGGGAUCACACUCAAAUUCCUUAAGGGGUUGGGCAGAUAAAUUGUGUAAAAUGGUAAGGCAUUAGAAAGUGGACCAAACUGCAGAGGACUGGGGAGGCACAGCCUACCUAAAGACAUUCAAAUUUGGUACAGAUGCUUCUUGGCUUACCAUGGGGCUACUGUGUUCCAAUAAACCCAUCUAAGUAAAAAACGCAUUUAAUAUACCUAACCUACCAAACAUCACAGCCUAGCCUAGCCUACCUUACGCAUGCUCAGAACACUUACAUUAGACUUCAAUUGGGCUACAUCAUCUAACACAAUGCCUAUUUUAUAAUAAAGUGUAGAAUAUCUCAUGUAAUUUAUUGAAUACUGGACUGGAAGUGGAAAACAAUGAUUAUAUGGUACUGAUAUAUUCAGUUUCUGCUGAAUGUGUAUGGCUUUCACGCUAUCAUAAAGUUGAGUAAUUAUAAGUCAAACUAUUGUAAAUUAGAGACUGUCUGUAUUUAAAAACAAAACAAACAAACUCCAAAAACAAAAAUAGACUGGUCUGGCCAAAUAGACCACUUUGGAAGGAUUUGGCCUAUGAAUCAAGAGGAUAUUUGCCGCUCCUGGACUGGCAGAUCCUUAAGCCUUCUUUGCGUGCUGAGUUCUGUGAUGUGUAUAAAAAUAAUGCACUUUUAUCUAAUAAGAGCCAAACACAUUAACCUCUGUGGUAGGAGAAAGUGGAGUUGAAUAGAAGUAGAGAAUGUGGUCUCCAUCCUCAGAAAACUCAAAAAUACUUUAAAAUAAGGUAUGUCCAUACAACGGCAGCCAUCAAUGGCGGGCAAAAAGCGUAUGGCGGCUCAGAGGAAGCAUUUCUAACUUCGAUCUAGAUGGGUUCAGAAAGAGCCACAGAAUAGGCAAGGCUUGAGUGGGGCUUAAAAGAACAAAUAGGUCUGACAUAGUGGCUCACACCUCGAUCCCUACUCGGGAGCAUCGUUUGAGCCCAGGAGGUUAAGGCUGCAGUGAGUGAGCUAUGAUCACACCACUGCCCUCCAGCCUGGUUGACAAAGCAAGACCCUGUCUCUAAAAAAAAAAAAAAAAAAAAGGAUGAACGUUCAGCUAAAUGGAGAGUGUAGAGGAGGAUAGAGUUGUUAGGUAGUCAUAGGACAAACAAGAAGCCCAGGGGCGAGGAGGAGGGUCAUGCUUGGAUCCUUCUGAACCUCUCAACUUCUUCCUCAGAUCCCAAAAUUGGCUUCCCGCCACCUAUUCUGUCCUGAGCCUCCUCCUCAGCCUCUGGACCUCUCCCUUCUUAUGAACUAAAAGCUUUCUUAGGGUCGCAGUUCCCACAGCUUGGCCCUACCACCUGCAGUCAGAGCCCUUAGCAUUCCCCAUGUAUUCAUCUGGUCCGUAUCCCAGCCCCACUGCCUGUUUGCAGACUUGUCAACACAGUCAUUGGGCUACCUCUUGGACAAUCACCCUUGAUGCUAAAUCACCCAAGCAAAUUAAUUGAAUUUUCAAGUGACGAGGGUAAUCCUAAGCACUUGAUGAUCAGAAGUGCGGGGGCACAAACUAUUUUCGGAAUUCGGAUUUGUCUUUAUUAUGUGGUGUACACCUUUGUUAGGGUACUAAGUGCCAUCAAUAAAUAGCUAGCAACAAUUGAUUGCUUACAACGUGCCAGAAUCUGUGCUGAGCCCAGUGCAUGCAUGCCCUGCGUCGCCAACUGAACCUCCAAAAUGGGGCACGUUAUUUUCCCCUUUCUCGAGAUGGGUAAACUGAGGCUCAGAGGGGUUAAAUAGCACAUGCAAAGUCAUACAACUAACAGGGGCAUGGAUUCAAACCCAAGUCUUCUGUCUCCAAAAACUGACUACAAUCACAUGUGGUUGACGGUUAUCACUGCAUGUGCUUGUACCAUUCAUAUGGAUGUGUAAAUGUACACUCAACGUCACACAGUCACCUGCUGGCCUAUCAUUGGAUGUAAGCAGCUGCCAUCUCCCAAACAACACACCAAUUUGAUGUGUGAAUUUGUUUCACUGACUCUUCAGACACAGUAGUCCCCCCUUAUCGAAGGUCCAAAUACAUGAAACAGAAAAUUCCAGAAAUAAACAAUUCAUAAAUUUCAA